Molecule: transfer RNA, 76 nt
Filed under: Candidatus Aerophobota bacterium
Lineage: Bacteria; Candidatus Aerophobota
Also listed under: 2 other names
Description: tRNA-Ala
Rfam family: tRNA
About the family: Transfer RNA (tRNA) molecules are approximately 80 nucleotides in length.
Source: RNAcentral
GGGGAUGUAGCUCAGCUGGGAGAGCGCUUGCUUUGCACGCAAGAGGUCGGGGGUUCGAAUCCCCCCAUCUCCACCA